RNAcentral lists this ribosomal RNA (253 nucleotides) under uncultured bacterium. RNAcentral's name for it is "partial 16S ribosomal RNA". It matches the Rfam family "Bacterial small subunit ribosomal RNA", at positions 524 to 776 of the family's 1533-position model. The record is from RNAcentral.
UACGGAGGGUGCAAGCGUUAUCCGGAUUCACUGGGCUUAAAGGGCGCGUAGGUGGUUUGGUAAGUCAGUGGUGAAAUCUCCGAGCUUAACUUGGAGACUGCCAUUGAUACUAUCAGUCUUGAAUACCGUGGAGGUCAGCGGAAUAUGUCAUGUAGCGGUGAAAUGCUUAGAUAUGACAUAGAACACCAAUUGCGAAGGCAGCUGACUGCGCGAAUAUUGACACUGAUGCACGAAAGCGUGGGGAUCAAACAGG